AGCAGCCGCGGUAAUUCCAGCUCCAAUAGCGUAUAUUAAAGUUGCUGCGGUUAAAAAGCUCGUAGUUGAAUUUCGGGACUAAUAUGUUGGUCGUGCCUCGGUACGUACUGAUAUUUUUGGUUUCUCCCUUCUGACGAACCUUGAUGUCAUUAAUUUGGUGUCUUGGGAAAUCAGGACUGUUACUUUGAAAAAAUUAGAGUGUUUAAAGCAGGCUCACGCUUGAAUACAUUAGCAUGGAAUAAUGAAAUAGGACGUUUGAUUCUAUUUUGUUGGUUUCUAGGAUCGACGUAAUGAUUAAUAGGGAUAGUUGGGGGCAUUAGUAUUCAAUUGUCAGAGGUGAAAUUCUUGGAUUUAUUGAAGACUAACUACUGCGAAAGCAUUUGCCAAGGAUGUUUUCAUUAAUCAAGAACGAAAGUUAGGGGAUCGAAGACGAUCAGAUACCGUCGUAGUCUUAACCAUAAACUAUGCCGACUAGGGAUCGGAUGAUGUAAUUUUUAAUGACUCAUUCGGCGCCUUACGG
This 520-nucleotide ribosomal RNA is filed under the name uncultured Glomus. RNAcentral's name for it is "SSU rRNA". It matches the Rfam family "Eukaryotic small subunit ribosomal RNA", at positions 569 to 1093 of the family's 1831-position model. Lineage: Eukaryota; Fungi; Glomeromycota; Glomeromycetes; Glomerales; Glomeraceae. The record is from RNAcentral.